Molecule: ribosomal RNA, 407 nt
Filed under: uncultured bacterium
Lineage: Bacteria
Description: partial 16S ribosomal RNA
Rfam family: Bacterial small subunit ribosomal RNA
Source: RNAcentral
AUUGAACGCUGUCGGCAGGCCUAACACAUGCAAGUCGAGCGGAGCGGCGGACGGGUGAGUAAUGCCUAGGUAUCUGCCUGGGUGUUGGGGGUGACGUCCGGAAACGGGCGCUAAUACCGCAUACUAUCACUCGAGUCUGGGUCGGAUUAGCUAGUUGGUGGGGUAAAGUACUACCAAGGCGACGAUCCGUAACUGGUCUGAGAGGAUGAUCAGUCACACUGGAACUGAGACACGGUCCAGACUCCUACGGGAGGCAGCAGUGGGGAAUAUUGGACAAUGGGCGAAAGCCUGAUCCAGCCAUGCCGCGUGUGUGAAGAAGGUCUUCGGAUUGUAAAGCACUUUAAGUUGGGAGGCGUUACCAACAGAAUAAGCACCGGCUAACUUCGUGCCAGCAGCCGCGGUAAUUC